Cydia strobilella is the source of this 1634-nucleotide long non-coding RNA. RefSeq lists it as uncharacterized. The transcript has 2 exons. The record is from RefSeq and is a predicted model, not a curated record. NCBI's taxonomy places the organism in Eukaryota, Metazoa, Arthropoda, Insecta, Lepidoptera, Tortricidae.
AAACUUUUUCCAUUUUUUCCUUUAAUAUAAAAUUUGGAGUAUCGCUCGCAGACGCAUCUGCAUGUUAAUAAAUUGAUCUUAACCUAUUAUUAAAAUCAAAAGACGCCUAGCUGUUAGUUUAAGAUAGAUUUAGAGAUACCAUCCAGAAAAAUAUAUAUGGAGGAGAGCAACUCUACAGUGAACUUUUAGCAGUCCUUAUUAUUCACAGUUUUAAUGUACAGUCAGCAAAGAUAUUAGCUUGGCACUCCUGCAUACACAUGCAUAUGCAUGCAUGCAUGGCUAAUAGUUUUGCUGACUGUACCAUUGAAGUAUUUUGCGUUAAUGUGGAGGGAUCUAUUCGUUUUUAUAUUAACUUAGGUUUAAGUAUUAUUUUUGGACUUACCAGCCAACACCGCGUUGGAUUUUGUGAUUUAUUUUUGUAUGAGAAAAGGCGUUUGUUAUACAGUUUUAGUUGAGAUUCUCCGCUAGUAUGGUAGAUAUCCUAUUAAAGCGUUUUUUUAGUUACCGACUUUUUUCUGCAGAUUUGAAUAAACAUUUGAUGGGUAAUAACAUAAUAAGAAAAGACUUCCACUGUUUUCUUAGCUGUUUAGAUACAAUAUCCAUUAUAUGCCUGGGACAUUAGUGUGGCCCCAGAAUUACACAGUUACGAAUAAGAAAUUGUACAAAAAAAUUGAAAUUGUGUUUCAUUUGGACCUUAUCUGCCCAUCAAAUUUUCGAUUCAAAAAGUCGAUAAUAAAAAUGAGGCCUUAUUUUUCUCCAUUAUUAUAAACGCAGUGUUUUAUGUUAUUGACAUUUACAUUGGAAGAACAAUUUUUAUACCCUUGAUUCCAAGCGAUAUUCAUAACUGAGUUUUAUUUGACUGUAAGUCUUUUGUUGGAUGACUUUUUAAGCAAUUUUUGAUUUUAAUUAAACUUAUUUACUUGUUGGUUAAUAUUUAUGACGUUAAAAUUUAAUUUGCAUUUUGAUUCUUAUUUACUUGUCGCGUAAAGAUUGUUUUCCGUUAACAGAAAUCAUACUUUUCUUACUGAUUAUUAUGAGAAUGACGAAUUUAGUAGUGAAAGAAAUUUAGGAAAAUUCUCGGUUCCGUACUUAUACAUAUAUUAUAUGUAAAGUUAAUUGAAAAAGACAAGUGCCAACCAACUGAACCAACAACCAACCUAUUAGAGACAGCUACUUCAAACAAAGUUUGCAUUAUUAUGUGAUAUAUUAACAUGUAAAAAUAGCAAUACGAAUGGUGUAAAACAUCUACCAAACUAAGACUAUUGAAAUAGUUCAGUUCACAACAAUAUAUAAUUAAAUUUUGUAAAAAGCUACAAUUUCACAAGUGUAAACUGCCAACAUUGCUGCGAUUAACGCACGCUGGACCAAUGACGUAUGUCAGUGUUGCUAUUUUACUCUUUUGAAAUCGUAAUUAUGUAGAAAAUCUUAUAAAAUAGCAAUAGCCCUGUUAAUUAAAAAAAUGCCUUAAAACUUCUGUUAUAAAAUUAAAAUAGAAACCAAACUGAUAAAGUUACUCCAAAACAGACAUAAACUACAAACUGUAUUUAUAUUGUAUUAUCGCCUUGGUGUGUUUAAGGUUUAGUUUAUAAUUAUUAUAAGUAACGCCACAAAUAAAUGUAUUUUUAAGUUACAAA